Molecule: ribosomal RNA, 751 nt
Filed under: uncultured Comamonadaceae bacterium
Lineage: Bacteria; Pseudomonadati; Pseudomonadota; Betaproteobacteria; Burkholderiales; Comamonadaceae
Description: bacterial SSU rRNA
Rfam family: Bacterial small subunit ribosomal RNA
Source: RNAcentral
AUUGAACGCUGGCGGCAUGCCUUACACAUGCAAGUCGAACGGUAACAGGUCUUCGGAUGCUGACGAGUGGCGAACGGGUGAGUAAUACAUCGGAACGUGCCCAGACGUGGGGGAUAACGAGGCGAAAGCUUUGCUAAUACCGCAUACGAUCUAAGGAUGAAAGCAGGGGACCGCAAGGCCUUGCGCGUUUGGAGCGGCCGAUGGCAGAUUAGGUAGUUGGUGGGAUAAAAGCUUACCAAGCCGACGAUCUGUAGCUGGUCUGAGAGGACGACCAGCCACACUGGGACUGAGACACGGCCCAGACUCCUACGGGAGGCAGCAGUGGGGAAUUUUGGACAAUGGGCGAAAGCCUGAUCCAGCAAUGCCGCGUGCAGGAUGAAGGCCUUCGGGUUGUAAACUGCUUUUGUACGGAACGAAAAGGCUCUGGUUAAUACCUGGGGCACAUGACGGUACCGUAAGAAUAAGCACCGGCUAACUACGUGCCAGCAGCCGCGGUAAUACGUAGGGUGCGAGCGUUAAUCGGAAUUACUGGGCGUAAAGCGUGCGCAGGCGGUUUUGUAAGACAGAGGUGAAAUCCCCGGGCUCAACCUGGGAACUGCCUUUGUGACUGCAAAGCUGGAGUGCGGCAGAGGGGGAUGGAAUUCCGCGUGUAGCAGUGAAAUGCGUAGAUAUGCGGAGGAACACCGAUGGCGAAGGCAAUCCCCUGGGCCUGCACUGACGCUCAUGCACGAAAGCGUGGGGAGCAAACAGG